This 65-nucleotide transfer RNA is filed under the name Dipodomys ordii (Ord's kangaroo rat). It matches the Rfam family "tRNA". From Rfam's summary of the family: Transfer RNA (tRNA) molecules are approximately 80 nucleotides in length. Their secondary structure includes four short double-helical elements and three loops (D, anti-codon, and T loops). Further hydrogen bonds mediate the characteristic L-shaped molecular structure. tRNAs have two regions of fundamental functional importance: the anti-codon, which is responsible for specific mRNA codon recognition, and the 3' end, to which the tRNAs corresponding amino acid is attached (by aminoacyl-tRNA synthetases). tRNAs cope with the degeneracy of the genetic code in two manners: having more than one tRNA (with a specific anti-codon) for a particular amino acid; and 'wobble' base-pairing, i.e. permitting non-standard base-pairing at the 3rd anti-codon position. Lineage: Eukaryota; Metazoa; Chordata; Mammalia; Rodentia; Heteromyidae. The record is from Rfam by way of RNAcentral.
GGUGGCUCAGUAGUAGAGUGCUUGCCUUGCAUGCAUAAGGCCCUGGGUUCAAUUCCUAAGCACCA